UUUUUUUUCUUUUCUCCCCCCGGGGGAUACCAACAUAAGCGGAGGAAAAGAAACCAACAGGGAUUGCCCCAGUAACGGCGAGUGAAGCGGCAAGAGCUCAAAUUUGAAAGCUGGCUCCUUCGGGGUCCGCAUUGUAAUUUGCAGAGGAUGCUUCGGGAGCGGUCCCCAUCUAAGUGCCCUGGAACGGGACGUCAUAGAGGGUGAGAAUCCCGUAUGGGAUGGGGUGUCCGCGCCCGUGUGAAGCUCCUUCGACGAGUCGAGUUGUUUGGGAAUGCAGCUCUAAAUGGGUGGUAAAUUUCAUCUAAAGCUAAAUAUUGGCCGGAGACCGAUAGCGCACAAGUAGAGUGAUCGAAAGAUGAAAAGCACUUUGAAAAGAGAGUUAAAAAGCACGUGAAAUUGUUGAAAGGGAAGCGCUUGCGACCAGACUCGCUCGCGGGGUUCAGCCGGCAUUCGUGCCGGUGUAUUUCCCCGCGGGCGGGCCAGCGUCGGUUUGGGCGGUCGGUCAAAGGCCCUCGGAAGGUAACGCCCCUAGGGGCGUCUUAUAGCCGAGGGUGCAAUGCGACCUGCCUAGACCGAGGAACGCGCUUCGGCUCGGACGCUGGCAUAAUGGUCGUAAGCGACCCGUCUUGAAACACGGACCAAGGAGUCUAACAUCUACGCGAGUGUUCGGGUGUCAAACCCGUGCGCGAAGUGAAAGCGAACGGAGGUGGGAACCCUUACGGGUGCACCAUCGACCGAUCCUGAAGUCUUCGGAUGGAUUUGAGUAAGAGCGUAGCUGUUGGGACCCGAAAGAUGGUGAACUAUGCCUGAAUAGGGCGAAGCCAGAGGAAACUCUGGUGGAGGCUCGUAGCGGUUCUGACGUGCAAAUCGAUCGUCGAAUUUGGGUAUAGGGCGAAAGACUAAUCGAUCAUCUAAAAAAAAAAAAGGGC
RNAcentral lists this ribosomal RNA (929 nucleotides) under Penicillium expansum. RNAcentral's name for it is "eukaryotic LSU rRNA". It matches the Rfam family "Eukaryotic large subunit ribosomal RNA", at positions 1 to 955 of the family's 3401-position model. The record is from RNAcentral. Lineage: Eukaryota; Fungi; Ascomycota; Eurotiomycetes; Eurotiales; Aspergillaceae.